AUGCUUACAUGGCGGGAGAGAUACCGUGAUGUUGAGGGUGGUUUUUCCCAGGACAAGGCUUAUCCAUGGCACUCUGAAUGUCCUGGCUCCUGUGAUUCCCCCAAAUGGGGGAAACUUGACUGCAUAAUUUGUGUGUGUGGGGUUGUUUACACCAUGCUCUAC
Molecule: non-coding RNA, 162 nt
Organism: Arvicanthis niloticus (Nile rat)
Lineage: Eukaryota; Metazoa; Chordata; Mammalia; Rodentia; Muridae
Source: RefSeq, a predicted model, not a curated record